Manduca sexta (tobacco hornworm) is the source of this 625-nucleotide long non-coding RNA. RefSeq lists it as uncharacterized. The record is from RefSeq and is a predicted model, not a curated record. The transcript is spliced from 3 exons. Lineage: Eukaryota; Metazoa; Arthropoda; Insecta; Lepidoptera; Sphingidae.
ACAAUAUAUUAUUUCAAAUGGAAUUUUGUAUCACAUAAAAUUAAUUAUAUUUAAUCAUGGUUGAAUGAAGAAUAUGGUUGUAGAUCCGCUAUCAGCAUUUAUUCUCGGAACUUGUAUCAUAGCUUGUUGGCCAUGCCUACUUCCUUGCUGUUUGGCUCUACCUCUUCUGCCAUACCCGCUUGUGAUCAUCCACGAGCCGAAAGCUACUUCCACUACAAGCCCCCGUCACAGCCCUAUGUGUCAUUUUAAAAAAACUAAACAAAUAUACAAUGUGUACUGCACUCGAAGAGGCUUAAUACUUGAACAUAACGCCGAAACUUGAUCACCUAAUAAAUAUUCAAGAAAUAGUUUUGAUUGUUCUAAUUGGAAUUAUGAUUUCGUCUUGGAUACUACAUGAGUACAUAAAAUAGCAAAAUAAUUCAUAGCAAAUAACAUAAUUAUAAAUAUUUAUAUAUGCCCUGAUCAUUCAGAAAUAAACUUUCAGCAAAGUUUAUUUUAUAAAUUGUAAUGAAUGAGGGAAGCAUUCUGAAAACAGAACGGGCAUAUGCAAAUAUCAUUUAAGGCAAAUAAUAAUGUAACAAUCUCUUACAUCUAAAUACAAAAUAAAAUAAAGUACUAGCCAAAU